GGGGUUGUGGCUCAGUGGUGGAGCGCUCGCCUUGCACUUGUGAAACCCUGGGUUCAAUCCUCAGCACCA
Ictidomys tridecemlineatus (thirteen-lined ground squirrel) is the source of this 69-nucleotide non-coding RNA. The record is from Rfam. NCBI's taxonomy places the organism in Eukaryota, Metazoa, Chordata, Mammalia, Rodentia, Sciuridae.